GGUGGUGAUGGUUUGGCCUUACA
This 23-nucleotide non-coding RNA is filed under the name Arabidopsis thaliana (thale cress). Lineage: Eukaryota; Viridiplantae; Streptophyta; Magnoliopsida; Brassicales; Brassicaceae. The record is from RNAcentral.